AAUUAUUGUGCAAUCUUUGCCAAUCAAAGAAGCUUCUUGAAAAACGUGUCAAAUUAAAACUUUUGUAUUAAUUAUUAAACUUUAUAAUAUAAUAAACUAUUUACAUAUAUCGGGAUCCCGUUUUCAAACUUUGUAAAGUUAACUUUUCAAAAUAUACAUUUAUUACAGGUCGCACAGCGACUACCAAAAUACAAAUCCCCAGAUGUCCCGAGACCGAACACUCCAGGUCGCGCUGCUUUGACAUGUACAAUCUCACCCGAGCUCAGGUACCCCCAAGUGACCGAGCAAGCUUUAGACUCAAAUUGACCAGAGUAUGCCAUACUAAUCUGUUUGGACCCUGUACUUAGGUGGGUCUGUUUGUACACAUGUAGGAAGCUCCUUGACUUUAGAAAUAAAUCACUAAAAUUUUGCAAGCAAUCAUUUAUAAAAUGACACAAUUUGAAUGAUAAUUAAUUACUUUAUUCAUUUAUAAUGUAACUUAUAUUUAUUAAAUAAUAAAAAGCUAUUACAUGAUUUGUUCGGAUCUUAGCUAAAAAAUAGAAACUCUUAAAGGAUAAACUCUGUCCAGAAGACAUUACUGAAGAGUAAUGCUUGUUAAAACAAUUUUUUGCUUUAGAAGUGGUCAUUGAGACCUUAGCACUAAGGCUUUUCCAAACCAUUGAAUGAUAAAUGUUCAAAAGGCCAUCACUUAAUAAUGAUGUUUGAGCAUUAUGAAAUUUUGUGUUCUUCAGACUUUUGUAUUUGUACGCAUUGGCUUAACUCACUCCUAAGCUCUCUAGACACUGCAAAGAAGACAUAAUAAAAACUGCCUGGUAUGAGCUGUACAAGGGAACGAGAAUAAAUGAAGUUUUCCGAAAAAACCUGCUAGUAGUAUUUUCUCAGAUGUUUACCGUUCCAAUACCGAGUAACUAGAACCAACUCUAUGUUUUCAUCAUACGACCCAAUUUGUAUGCUUCUGAUUUUGUAACUUCAGUUACUUUGUAUGUCCCUUCCCCAUUUGGUCCGAGCACACCUUUCGCACUAUCUUUAGUGUUAAGGAACACUCUUCCAAGUAUCAUAUCUCUCACAAAAAAAUUCCUUUCUCUCACAUGCUUGCUGAAUUACCUAACUACUUUUUGUUGAUAAGCUUGUAGCUUUAAGUUUGCUAGAUCUCUUCAUUCUUCAAUUUCAUCUAAUGACUCUAUUAAGAGAUUGUGGUUGGCCUCCUAAUCAUAGGUUAAUCUUCUGUGGGAUGAAGGCUGCAGUUCUACGGGCAACAUUGCUUCAUAGCCAUAGACUAAUGCGAAAGGAGUUUGCCCGGUUGCCAUCCAUUUAUACGACCAGAGUAUCUCAGAAAUCAGUGAACAUUUGGCUGUCAAAUUUUUUUCCCUUGUCUGACAUAAUUUUUUGAAGAAAUCUGUACCAACGUAUGAUGUUUUUCACCACGAAGUCUAAAACUUUAUUGGAAGUUAUAGUGGCUAGUAGUAGGGCUUCUAUCCAUUUUGUUAUAUAAUCAACAGCUACAACUGCAUACUGCACACCGCCUUUUUCCUUUGGGAGUUGUCCGAUCAAGUCUAUUCCCCAUACAAUAAAUGGCCAUGGACUUUGUAUUUGGAUCAAUUCAUUGGGCGGAGCUCUGGGCACCCUAGAAAUCUUUGGCACUUGUCAUAUGUCUUCACAUAUACUUUUGAAUCCUCAAUCAUAGUCGGCCAAAAACAAACUCUGCCCCCAGCUAGGUUGCUAUAGAACCCUUCAUGAACUUAAGUAAGAAGUCGUGCAACUUUAAUAUGAUUGUUAUGCGAAUCAUGCAAUUUGUUUUCAUUUUACAAUUAUUUGUUGGUCAUCUAUAAUUGGUAUCUAUGAAUUCAAAUCAAAAUUUUGAAAAGUGAGAUUUUGAAUAUGCUUGAU
Cannabis sativa is the source of this 1887-nucleotide long non-coding RNA. RefSeq lists it as uncharacterized. NCBI's taxonomy places the organism in Eukaryota, Viridiplantae, Streptophyta, Magnoliopsida, Rosales, Cannabaceae. The record is from RefSeq and is a predicted model, not a curated record. The transcript has 3 exons.